GCACAGGGACACAAAAUCUGGGUUGAAAUGGUGGGUCAUAGUAUGCAAUAACUAGGUUGCUAUUUUCUGCUACAUGUCAGCUGAGACCAAGAAAGUGGUCUGUAAACAGAGUUCAGCCUAUAUCACGGGUGCUAAGGACAAGAGCCCAUGAUUGCCUAAAGAAAUCACACCAUUCUGUCUUACUCCUGAGAGGAACAGCAGGGCCCCAUGUUCUUGGGUUCCACUGGAUUCUUCCCAAUACAUGACUUUGGUUUAAGCCAGGGGGGUUCUUUUCU
Long non-coding RNA from Perognathus longimembris pacificus (Pacific pocket mouse), 275 nucleotides. RefSeq lists it as uncharacterized. Lineage: Eukaryota; Metazoa; Chordata; Mammalia; Rodentia; Heteromyidae. The transcript has 3 exons. The record is from RefSeq and is a predicted model, not a curated record.